GCUGAGGGUAGCUUUUGAGUCCUAGGAUGAAAAAGGUGUGGCAGGAGCCUGAGGCACUCUCUGCUUACAUAUCUGCACUGUCUCUGGGUUCAGGAGGCUGGAAGUCCAGGAUCAAGGGAGGAGAGAGAGAGGCCGCUUGAUUGCUGUCCUGCUGAGUGAUCUUCUCGGUCACUGGCUCUGCCCACACUUGUUGCUCCACAAGCCGCCAUUUGGACAUGCUCUGAGUUGGCUGUGCCCUGCAGCGGCGAUUAUCAGAGCUCCCCGCUGAGCCCUGGAAAGGUGGAUGUGAACAAGAAAGGGAGGGAGUGAUUCCUUCUUAUCAGGCAGCAUUUUCCCUUGACCUCUCUACAAACACCCUCUUCCCGGGCCCUGGUAGCAAAGACUUUGCAGCUGGAAAGACUUGGAUUCAACUCCCACUUCUGCCGACAGCCAUGUGGCAUCAGCUAAAUCAAUUACACCUUUCAUCUCAGCGCCUUCAUCAUAUUCACCACAGCACCUUCAUCAAUAAUUGAGUAUUCUCAAUUAUUCUUUCCACGUGUGCCCAAAAGGAAGUGUGCAAGACCCUCUCCAAACGUGACAAAGGCUCAAGGACACCACACCCAGGAAGUUGUGGACUUGGAGCCAUCUGCAACCAUCUCGCUGAUUUCCUGUCUCAGCAUCCCAUGGCAGAACUGCCAGCAGACUUGGGGAGUUUCUCUAAGCAGCUGGGGACUGGCUGGACAUGAUGUGGUGAGCAGGGGCACCACUCAGCAAAGCGUAGGGCACUCACUCAAAUCCUGCAGGGCAUCAUCUAAUGUGACAUUGAAAGAUCUGCCGGAGGAGAGUUUUCCAGCAGUGGGGCUGGGGUUGGCAGGCAGCCUCUGUGCACCCCAACCCCCUGGGAGACAAAGGAGCCAAAGCAGCCAGAGCCCGUUGCUAACUGGGAUGGCCACACACAAGCUGGAGGCAGGGACUGGGUUGUCUCCAUCAUCUUUGAGAACCCGCAGGAUGCUGGGCAACCAUGUGGCCAAUCUUUGGGGAGCUCACCGCUGAGCAGCAAUGAGGAACGGACACCAGGACCCCAAGUUAGACCCUGCGGGUCCUACCUCUUAACAUUACUUGUCAACAUUACUUAAAUGUUGGCAAUUCUGUGGACAAGGCAGGCCAUGCAGCCUUUGGGGGUCUCAGUGUCCUCCUCUGUUAGGUCUAAGUAGACAUUCCUGUCCAUUUCAUUUAAGGAGCGCCCAGCUGUGGUGAGCGCUCAGUAAAAACCAGCUAGUUGUGGCGACUUCCAGCCUUGAUCAGAACUGAGUCUGACCGCUUUGUUUGUAACUUCUCUAUGAAAUCGGCCUCCCAGGGACCAUCCACAUCUCACAUUGGACAUUGAUGUGGGUCACUGGCUGUGAAUACCUUUCCAGAAAGGGAAAGAAAACAGAUUCUGCUUUUCUGGGGCUCAUACUUCAUGCACAUCCUAGGGCUUGGAAGUUUGAUGAUCUUGGGCAGAAACGGGCAAACUUCUGUCCCCAGACCAAGUCUAUGAAUCUAAGAACAAU
Molecule: long non-coding RNA, 1532 nt
Organism: Talpa occidentalis (Iberian mole)
Lineage: Eukaryota; Metazoa; Chordata; Mammalia; Eulipotyphla; Talpidae
Exons: 5
Source: RefSeq, a predicted model, not a curated record